AUCAAACUAAGAAUGCCGUCAAGAUACCCUCGGGAGUCAGUCUGCGUGAGAUAAGUCGCGUGGACAAAAGGGAAAGAGCCCAGACCGACAGCUAAGGUCCCAAAGUACGUGUUAAGUGGAAAAGGAUGUGGGAUUUCAUAGACAACUAGGAUGUUGGCUUAGAAGCAGCCAUACAUUUAAAGAGUGCGUAACAGCUCACUAGUCGAGAAAACCUGCGCCGAAAAUUUAACGGGGCUAAAACACGACACCGAAGCUACGGAUUUCCUACUAGGUAGGAAGUGGUAGAGGAGCAUCCUGCAAGGACGAAGCCAAAGUGAGAACGAUGGUGGACGAAACAGGAGAGAGAAUGCCGGAAUGAGUAGCGAGAUAGAAGUAAGAAACUUCUAGGCCGAAUAUCUAAGGUUUCCUGGGUAAAGCUAAUCUUCCCAGGGUUAGUCGGGGCCUAAGGCGAGGACGAAAGUCGUAGUCGAUGGAUAACAGGUUGAUAUUCCUGUACUACGUAUCAUCAGAACUGUGGGGACGCAGGAGGAUAGGAAAACCGGGGAAUGGAAAAACCCGGCCAAGUACAAAGUCAAGGGAGAUAGGCAAAUCCGUCUCUUGAUGAUGAAGUGCGAUGGGGACUGAACAAAAGUAGGGAAGUUUCCGAAUCCACACUGUCGAGAAAAGCCGCUAUUGUGUGAUACGUACCCGUACCGUAAACCGACACAGGUAGAUGAGGAGAAAAUCCACAGGCCGACGGGAGAAGUGUUGUUAAGGAACUCGGCAAAAUGACCCCGUAACUUAGGGAGAAGGGGAGCCACGCAAGUGGCCGCAGAAAAGAGGCUCAAGCGACUGUUUAGCAAAAACACAGGUCUCUGCGAAACCGAAAGGUGAAGUAUAGGGGCUGACACCUGCCCGGUGCUGGAAGGUUAAAAGGAGAGGUUCGACGUAAGUCAAAGCUUUGAAUUCAAGCCCCAGUAAACGGCGGCCGUAACUAUAACGGUCCUAAGGUAGCGAAAUUCCUUGUCAGGUAAGUUCUGACCCGCACGAAAGGUGUAACGAUUUGAGCACUGUCUCGACAACACGCCCGGUGAAAUUGAAGAACCAGUGAAGAUACUGGUUACCCGCAACAGGACGGAAAGACCCCAUGGAGCUUUACUGCAGCCUGAUACUGGGAUUCGAUGAUAUAUGUACAGGAUAGGAGGGAGACUAGGAAUCCGGGACGCCAGUUUCGGAGGAGUCGACGGUGGGAUACCUCUCUUAUGUUAUUGGAUUUCUAACUUGGCACCGUGAUCCGGUGUGAGGACAAUGUCAGGCGGGCAGUUUGACUGGGGCGGUCGCCUCCUAAAAGGUAACGGAGGCGCUCGAAGGUCACCUCAGAAUGAUUGGAAACCAUUCAAAGAGUGUAAAGGCAAAAGGUGGCUUGACUGCGACACCGACGGGUGGAGCAGGUACGAAAGUAG
Molecule: ribosomal RNA, 1442 nt
Filed under: human gut metagenome
Description: bacterial LSU rRNA
Rfam family: Bacterial large subunit ribosomal RNA
Source: RNAcentral